GCGGAAUUGGUGAAGGGGUUAACACGGUGGAUUGUGGUUCCAUUAUGCAUCGGUUCGAAUCCGAUAUUCCGCCCCA
Molecule: transfer RNA, 76 nt
Filed under: Candidatus Coprosoma intestinipullorum
Lineage: Bacteria; Bacillati; Bacillota
Description: tRNA-His
Rfam family: tRNA
About the family: Transfer RNA (tRNA) molecules are approximately 80 nucleotides in length. Their secondary structure includes four short double-helical elements and three loops (D, anti-codon, and T loops).
Source: RNAcentral